RNAcentral lists this ribosomal RNA (422 nucleotides) under uncultured bacterium. RNAcentral's name for it is "bacterial SSU rRNA". It matches the Rfam family "Bacterial small subunit ribosomal RNA", at positions 355 to 774 of the family's 1533-position model. The record is from RNAcentral.
UAAGGAAUAUUGGUCAAUGGACGCAAGUCUGAACCAGCCAUGCCGCGUGGAGGAUGAAGGCCCUCUGGGUUGUAAACUUCUUUUAUAUGGGACGAAAAAGGGUCUUUCUAGAUCAACUGACGGUACCAUGUGAAUAAGCACCGGCUAACUCCGUGCCAGCAGCCGCGGUAAUUCGGAGGGUGCAAGCGUUAUCCGGAUUCACUGGGUCUAAAGGGUGCGUAGGUGGGUUGGUAAGUCAGUGGUGAAAUCUCCGAGCUUAACUUGGAAACUGCCAUUGAUACUAUCAGUCUUGAAUAUUGUGGAGGUUAGCGGAAUAUGUCAUGUAGCCGUGAGAUGCAUAGAUAUGACAUAGGACGCCAAUUGCGAAGGCAGCUGGCUACACAACUAUUGACGCUGUAGCACGGAAGCGUUGGUAGCGAACA